UGAGUUUUUCAUAAUCCAUGCUUGCUCAAAUAAAUUUUGAUGGGUUAUAGUUAAUCCUUAAAUUUUCAUACUCUAUGUUUGCCCGCGUUAAUUAUAAAAUUACUAAAUUAAAAGAAAGGAAUAUCAAAAUCAUAUUAAGUUACAAAAAUAGAAGAGAUUGGAUUGUGUAUUAUGUUUAUUGGUUUAAUGGAUUCAUAUUCCUAGAUUGCUUCCUCAUUAUUAGUUUUCA
This 229-nucleotide long non-coding RNA is filed under the name Panax ginseng (ginseng). RNAcentral describes it as "long non-coding RNA (PGIN_LNC015309)". The record is from RNAcentral. Lineage: Eukaryota; Viridiplantae; Streptophyta; Magnoliopsida; Apiales; Araliaceae.